Long non-coding RNA from Puntigrus tetrazona (Sumatra barb), 1663 nucleotides. RefSeq lists it as uncharacterized. The record is from RefSeq and is a predicted model, not a curated record. NCBI's taxonomy places the organism in Eukaryota, Metazoa, Chordata, Actinopteri, Cypriniformes, Cyprinidae. The transcript has 3 exons.
UAACUUUUGCAGAGUAUGCCCUCAUAUUUUGCAUGCUUGCUGUUCAGACCAGUUGGGUAGAGGACACACUAAAGCUGCAAUUUGUCGAGGAUUGAAUUAGAAUUUGAAUUAGAUAAGAAUUAGCUUGUCGUGAUGAGUGGGGGGAAUUUUAAAAGGUUUAAUGGAACUCACAAUUCAAAUCGACAACCUUGUGCGAUUACGACGACCUGCACACACCACACAAAGCCUCUGCAUGACCCCUGGAACUAGUCCUGAACCAAUGCAGCUAGACUAUACUCACCUUUCCUCUGAAAAACAAGAGUGAUGGAUUCAGCUACAUCUAUGCAUGUACUGUGGUCAGGCCGGCCAUCUAAAAUUCUCCUGCCCUGUUUGACCCACCACAGAGAAUCUCAGAACGAAACCGUUUUUGGAGGCCUUCAAUGACAGAGGAUACUGCCAUCUUUUUUAAUAACUGCACCUUAUGCAUCACCUCUAAACCAUUAUGCCAAGAGCCAGCCAGCCUGCUUCAAACAUUACUAAUACCUCAAUGGUCACAAAUAGCAAUUUUCUUCGUAACCGAUUUACAUUUAACAAAUUACCUAACUCAUUUAGUAGCACCACUGUAAUAGACAGUUUCACCAAGACUCAACCCCUUUGUCCAUGCUUUUGUCGACUUUCGAAACUACUGAGACCUUAUAUAACUACGUCUUCCAGUUCCAUGGCCUACCCAAGGACAUUGUGUCAGUUGGGGUUCCACAAUUCAUGUGGAAAUUAUGAUUUUGGACAGCCUUUUUCAGACUCCUCAAUGUUAGCAUAAUCCUCAUAUCCGGAUACCAUCCACAGUCUAAUUGACAGACAGAACGACUCAACUAGGAGCUCACUCACUUUCUCAGAAUGUAUUGCCAAAAUAAUCAAGCAGAAUGGAGCAAAUUCCUCAUGUGAGCUGAGUAUGCUGAAAGCUCCCUUCUGAAACCUGCUACUGGACUAACCCCUUUAGAAUGCAUGCUGGGCUUCCAACCACCUCUCUUCCCCUGGUCAGGUGAACCUUUCAACAUGUCUUCUGUCACCAAAUGGCUAUGCCGAAGUAAGGAGACCUGGAAUCGUACAAACAUUAAUUUGCAAAGAGCAGUGAGAUGACUGGAGGAACAAGCUGAUCAUCAUCAUCGUCAUCCGGAAGCCGAGUAUACCACAGGGCAAUGUGUUUGGCUAUCUUCCAGAGACAUCCACCUCCAAAUCUCCUGCAAGAAGCUCAGUCAUAGCUGUUAAAACCUGCUGGUGGUCCAAGAGAGAGUUGGAGAGCCAGGAAACCGAGGUCCAAGCGCUCCCGCCCAUUCUGGUCGACGACAAGGAGGUGUACGAUGUCCGAAUGAUGCUUGACUCUCAACUCUGGGGCAAGUACUUCAGUAUCUUGUCAACUGGGAGGGGUAUAUUCCAGAGGAAAGGUCCUGGGCAAUACAAGGGACAUUCUUGACCCCUCACUUAUAGGACACAUUUGGAGAAGCCGACCUGGCAACCACAAGGAAGACCACUGGUGAUAAUUUCUGAGCAUUAUUCUGUUUCUUGGCCUGCCUGUGUAGUAACCUUGACUGCGGAUUCUGAUUCUGGCUGCCUGUCCUGACCCCUUUUGCCAGUUUAUUGCUUGUGAAUGCUUACUGCCUUCGCUUUCGUCUGCCCGACUCCUAGA